UACGUAGGGUGCGAGCGUUGUCCGGAAUUAUUGGGCGUAAAGGGCUCGUAGGCGGUUUGUCGCGUCGGGAGUGAAAACCUUGGGCUUAACUCAGGGCUUGCUUUCGAUACGGGCAGACUAGAGGUAUGCAGGGGAGAACGGAAUUCCUGGUGUAGCGGUGAAAUGCGCAGAUAUCAGGAGGAACACCGGUGGCGAAGGCGGUUCUCUGGGCAUGAUUUGACACUGAGGCACGAAAGCAUGGGGAGCAAACAGG
RNAcentral lists this ribosomal RNA (253 nucleotides) under uncultured bacterium. RNAcentral describes it as "partial 16S ribosomal RNA". It matches the Rfam family "Bacterial small subunit ribosomal RNA", at positions 524 to 776 of the family's 1533-position model. The record is from RNAcentral.